GUCUAUGGCCACACCACCCUGAACAAGCCCCAUCUCGUCCGAUCUCGGAAGCUAAGCAGGGUCGAGCCUGGUUAGUACUUGGAUGGGAGACCACCUAGGAAGACCAGGUGCUGUAGGUG
This 119-nucleotide ribosomal RNA is filed under the name Pteropus alecto (black flying fox). Lineage: Eukaryota; Metazoa; Chordata; Mammalia; Chiroptera; Pteropodidae. The record is from RNAcentral.